Molecule: ribosomal RNA, 820 nt
Filed under: Shigella boydii
Lineage: Bacteria; Pseudomonadati; Pseudomonadota; Gammaproteobacteria; Enterobacterales; Enterobacteriaceae
Description: partial 23S ribosomal RNA
Rfam family: Bacterial large subunit ribosomal RNA
Source: RNAcentral
CCUUGAUGUGUAGGAUAGGUGGGAGGCUUUGAAGUGUGGACGCCAGUCUGCAUGGAGCCGACCUUGAAAUACCACCCUUUAAUGUUUGAUGUUCUAACGUUGACCCGUAAUCCGGGUUGCGGACAGUGUCUGGUGGGUAGUUUGACUGGGGCGGUCUCCUCCUAAAGAGUAACGGAGGAGCACGAAGGUUGGCUAAUCCUGGUCGGACAUCAGGAGGUUAGUGCAAUGGCAUAAGCCAGCUUGACUGCGAGCGUGACGGCGCGAGCAGGUGCGAAAGCAGGUCAUAGUGAUCCGGUGGUUCUGAAUGGAAGGGCCAUCGCUCAACGGAUAAAAGGUACUCCGGGGAUAACAGGCUGAUACCGCCCAAGAGUUCAUAUCGACGGCGGUGUUUGGCACCUCGAUGUCGGCUCAUCACAUCCUGGGGCUGAAGUAGGUCCCAAGGGUAUGGCUGUUCGCCAUUUAAAGUGGUACGCGAGCUGGGUUUAGAACGUCGUGAGACAGUUCGGUCCCUAUCUGCCGUGGGCGCUGGAGAACUGAGGGGGGCUGCUCCUAGUACGAGAGGACCGGAGUGGACGCAUCACUGGUGUUCGGGUUGUCAUGCCAAUGGCACUGCCCGGUAGCUAAAUGCGGAAGAGAUAAGUGCUGAAAGCAUCUAAGCACGAAACUUGCCCCGAGAUGAGUUCUCCCUGACUCCUUGAGAGUCCUGAAGGAACGUUGAAGACGACGACGUUGAUAGGCCGGGUGUGUAAGCGCAGCGAUGCGUUGAGCUAACCGGUACUAAUGAACCGUGAGGCUUAACCUUACAACGCCGAAGGUGUUU